RNAcentral lists this long non-coding RNA (737 nucleotides) under Ricinus communis (castor bean). RNAcentral's name for it is "long non-coding RNA (RCOM_LNC000475)". Lineage: Eukaryota; Viridiplantae; Streptophyta; Magnoliopsida; Malpighiales; Euphorbiaceae. The record is from RNAcentral.
GCUAAAAUAUAAGAAGUCUGUCUGUUACAAUUUUGUAACUCAUAUAUAAAGAGAGAUAAUUCGAAAAAUGUUGGCUAAGACAAAGAUUUUAUUUAUGAAUUAAUCGAUUUAUGCCACUAGAUGCUUAUCUAAUUAGUUCUUUUACUAUACUUUCAAAAGCAAAAGGACAUUGUGCCGCCCGUUAACUUUCCGGAAAUGGCAGAAAUCUACGACAGUGGGAGUAGAGAAGAUUGACAGAGGAUGUUUACGGCAUGAUAGAGCUACAACCGAAUACACAUACCCUAGAGACAAAGCAAGAAAGACAGCAAAAUCAGUCCUUGCCUCGGGUGAGCCAACAACUCGAGCAAACUGGAGAGAGAGAGAUUAGUUGAAUAAGCAUAAGAAUAAGGGGUCCCGCGUCUAUGUCCAAACCAUGCUCCCCCCGAACUCUCCCACUUCCUUCUUCUUCGGUUGUCAAUGAAGAGUUCGGGGACUUUCCCGUGAAUGUAUGAGCCCUACCUGCGCCCUCCUCGCUGGCUAGAACACUAAGCCACUCCUUUCGAAGUAUGGUUGCUAAAAUCCUCUUUGUUUGUUUGUCUUUUUCUAUUCAGGGACGAAUUAAUUUGUGCAAGUUAGCGGCUUGAUACAAGGAAGACAAUAAUUGCUAAUCGACAAAAGAAAAGAGGUGCAGUCUUUAAAUUUGCACUUUAAUCUUUUCUUACGACAAUAAAGAAAAUUUGUCAUGUGGUCGGUAAGGC